Castor canadensis (American beaver) is the source of this 1308-nucleotide non-coding RNA. NCBI's taxonomy places the organism in Eukaryota, Metazoa, Chordata, Mammalia, Rodentia, Castoridae. The record is from RefSeq and is a predicted model, not a curated record.
CUUUUCCAGCGUAGAGGUAAGUAUAAUAACUCAGUGUGUAGCCCUUUGAGUCUGGCACAUGAGAUCUUCCCAAUCCACUGUGUGUGUCAGCAGUUUGUCCCUCUUUGCCACCAAAUGGCCUUCCAUGUGUGGAUCCAUCAGUCAACCACUCACCUAGUUGAAAGACAUGAACAGUAUUUCCAGGCUUUAGAUUAUAAAUUAAUUUUUCAUUAGAAAUUUGGAGCUUUUUGCUGGGUGUCCUUGUGAGAGUGACAUCGCCUUUAAACCCUGCGUGGCAAUCCCUGAUGCACCGCCGUGAUGCCCAGGGAAGACAGGGUGACCUGGAAGUCCAGCUACUUCCUUAAGAUCUUCCAACUUUUGGAUGAUUAUCCAAAAUGCUUCAUUGUGGGAGCAGACAACGUGGGCUCCAAGCAGAUGCAGCAGAUCCAGAUGUCCCUCCGAGGGAAUGCUGUGGUGCUGAUGGGCAAGAACACCAUGAUGUGCAAGGCUAUCUGCAGGGACCUGGAAAGCAACCCAGCUGUGGAGAAACUGUUGCCUCAGAUCUGGGGGAAUGUGGGCUUUGUGUUCACCAAGGAGGACCUCACUGAGAUCAGGGACAUGGCUGCUGGCCAAUGAGGUGCCAGCAUCUGCUGUGCUGGUGCCAUUGCUCCAUGUGAAGUCACAGUGUCAGCCCAGAACACUGGUCUGGGAUCCGAGAAGACCCUUUCUUCCAGGCUUUAGGCAGCACCACCAAAAUCUCCAGAGGCACCAUUGAAAUCCUGAGUGAAGUGCAGCCGAUAAAGAUUGGAGACAAAGUGGGAGCCAGCCAAGCCACGCUGCUGAACAUGGUGAACAUCUCCUCCUUCUUCUUCGGGCUGAUCAUCCAGCAGGUGUUUGACAGUGGCAGCAUCUACAACCCUGAAGGGCUUGACAUCACAGAGGAAGCUCUGCACUCCUGCUUCCUAAAGUGUUUCGGCAAUGUUGCUAGUGUUUGUCUGCAAAUUGGCUACCCAACUGUUGCUUCAGUACCUCAUUCUAUUAUCAAUGGGUAUAAGUGGGUCCUGGCUUUGUCUGUGGAGACUGACUACACUUUCCCACUUGCUGAAAAGGCCAAGGCCUUCUUGGCUGAUCCAUCUGCAUUUGUGGCUGCUGCCCCUGUAGCUGCCGCCACCACUGCUGGUCCUGAUGCUGCUGCGGCCCCAGCCAAGGUUGAGGCCAAGGAGGAGUCGGAAGAGUUGGACAGGGAUAUGGGAUUUGGUCUCUUUGACUAAUCACCAAAACAGCCAACUCAAUUUUAUUUGCAAAACAAGGAAAUAAAGGCUUACUUUC